CCUUGGGGUGAGGGGAGGCUCGGGUACAGUAUUCCCAGCCAUCUCUAGCUGCACUCCACAGCAUGGCUUAAUUGGGUCCUUGGAUGGCCCCACCAUGACUCCCCAGGUGAUAAGAUGCAUCCUGUGUACCUCCUCGUACCAUUGCUGUUCUGGGCGCUGUGUUUACAAUGACGAACAAGACAGACUGGGCCCCGGGACACAAAAAGCUUACAAUCUGGAGGAAGGCUGACCAACAGAAAUAUAAUAGACCUGGGAAUCCUGAUAAUGGAAAAUGUACCACCCAGAAAUAUUUCCUGAGGCCUGAGCAUACUCACAAAUAAUAGAAUGAGCCAUGGGACUGCUAUUUAAGAACAAGGGAGAUGGGGCAGAAGAGGCCCACAGGCAUAAACGCUGCUGCCCAUCGCCAGAAUACUCCAAUGGGCAUGAACUCCAAGGUGCCAAGACUGGCAUUUCCUGACCUAGCAUCCUCAGGAGAGGAAAGCAUCUGGCCUUUUGCCCCAGUCUUGACCCUGGCUGCUGACUCCUUCCAGAGAAAAUGCGAUGGUACUACCUGCAGGCUUCAAGGACAGGAAGAGAGAGGGCAUUUUAUUUUUCUAACCACCUCAUUGCUAUCUACUUCACCCUAUGGAUCUGGAGUGAAGAACUGUCACAUGGCAGCAGCCACCACUGAACAGUGAUGAAAGGGAGGACAGAAACUCCUACUCAUCCUAUAGGUCUCUACUUGGAUGUCACCUUCUUCAAGAAGCCUUCUGUGACUUCCAAGAAUGGUCAGAGGCUCCUCUUGUCUUCCUACCUGCUUCCCCCCAAGGGCACUUACACUGUUAGGUUAUGACUGCUUGUUUGCUUACCCAUGUUCCCAGUGAGCUUCAGGGCAAGCCUGGGCCUCUCCUAUAGGGCCUUGUGUACAGGACAUGCUCAUGAAUGCUCAGAGUCCUUAGUGAAUAAAGGAAACAAACACAGCCUGGAUGUGUUCACAAAGAAGAUGAAACCCCAGGGUUCUACACUUGAUCUUAGCCAAAAGGCCAAGAAGCGAUGAAAUCCCAGGGUUCUAAAAACAGCUCACACAGUCUUAGACCAGGAAAGAUUUUGCAGCCUUGCAGCAGGCGAACCAGAGACUAGUCUGCGGGAGGUGCUUGGGGUCAGCAGCUUCAGGGAACAGAGAGGACAUGAAUCAGCGCGUGCAGGUGACCUCAUGCUUCCCCAAGGCAGGGAUCACUUUUGCAUUGCUCAAGCUUUGGGAAUCUCCCUUCCAAAACAACUCCAGGUUGUAACACAGGUGACACUUGACCAACCAACUUCUCAUCUUCUACCCUGGGUGGGAGGAGCAAUAAUCCACCAGUGCUGAUACGAAGGUGUUUCCAUUUUUUUCUUUUGCCUUUUAAUACACAGUCUGAAUUUCUGGGAUUCAGGGUUUAAAUGAAUGUCUCCUUGAGUGGGUCCCAAAAACAUUAUCUAGGAAAAUGGAUAUAUACUAACCUAUUUUGGUUUCUUUAAAGCUAAAAAUAUUAAAAAUACUCACCAUCUGUGACAAAGUGUCAUUUGGCAUUAUUAAUAGCUAAAAAGCAUUUAUAUUUAAUUGGACCAAGUUGCUCCUACCUCUACUUUGAAAGAGCAGAGCGGGCUGUGAUGGGGCCAUUGAAACUGUUAAUUUUGCUUGGCUCUGCCAUGUCUACCCCUUGGGGCCUCUUUUCCCUCUGCAUAAAAUAGGUGGUUGGUUGAAAGCCUUAAGGUUGUUUCUAUCUCUCAUAGGAUAGAAUCUAUGUUUAUUUGCUGGCUUCUUUCUUAAAAAGGUGGAAACUUUAGUCUUACUAUUUAGUUUUGCUUUACCACAGUGAGGAAUUGUAUUCAGCUAUGAGUGCAAAGAACUGAAAAAUAGUGGCUUAAACACAACAAGCUUUCUUUUCUCACAUAAAAUAAGUCCAGAGGGAGGUAGUCUGGGCUGGUGGAGUGGCUCCAAGAUGUCAUCAAGGAUUCAGGUUCCUUGUGUCUUUCGGGUCCACCCUCUUCAGCAAAUGGCUUCCAUCUUCAAAGUCCCCUCAGAUCCAAGAUGGCGAACAGCCCAGCAGCCAUCAUGACCACCUUGCAGAUGAGAAGACUAAGGAAAACGGCAAUUUACUUUUAGAAUCUUCCUGGAAGUUUCAUCCAACAUCCUUCCUAUGCUUCAUGGGCCAGAUCUUUGUCACACGGCCACAUCUAGCCUGGGGGAGUUUGGGAUAUGUGGUCCUUUUGCUGGGCACAUUGCUGCCUCAAAUAAUGUCAGGGUCUGUGAGUAGGGAGGAAGCAGAGAACGGAUGUUGGGCUGGGCAACUGAACUGAAGUCUACAGCACACUACUGUUUAACCUAAAUGAUGUGAUAAAAAUGACAAACAGUAGGAUAUAUUGGAGUAUAUGAGGAAGCCAUUUGGUGUAAAGUUGAUUAAGCCUAAUCUUAUUUUUUUUUUCCAAAAGGGCCUUGAGCAUGCAUUGUAUAUCCGCUUUAAGCAUUUCCUUUGUCCCAAAGGCAAGAACAAAUGCCCUUAAGAUAAAGGUGACACUUCCCCCACAUUAUUAUUUCCUUAAGGAUAAGUAUCUCUCCAUAGACUAGGAAUUGAUUGCUGCACUCACCUGUGACCACCCAGCUCACCUGUGACCACCCAGCUCAAGACAACAGACCUGCCACCCUGUGGUGUCCACCGAGAUGACAGACCUACUACUUGCUGUAUCCAUCAAUCGCUAUGCCAACAGAGCAAUCUCAUGACUACUGUAAAAGGGACAUUUCAAUCAUAUGUGAAACAUGCUCUUUGAGGGUAUAUAACCACUCUGUACACCCCACUUCUUUGGUGCCCUUCCUUCCCUGGUCCUCACAUUUGGCUCGGAAUAAAC
This is a long non-coding RNA of Equus asinus (donkey), 2862 nucleotides long. The record is from Ensembl. NCBI's taxonomy places the organism in Eukaryota, Metazoa, Chordata, Mammalia, Perissodactyla, Equidae.